GCUCCCCAGGAACAAUCCCACUCAUCAUGAUAAAAUCUGGGGAAAGAGAAAGGCUGGAGGGCACCACCCCCCCGCCCCUCAGUGCAGUGUUCCAGGGCCUGCCCACUGCCUGGGGAGGCGAUGCCAGCACUCAUCUCACAGCAGAGCAUGUACCAUCCUGUGCCAUCCUGAGCACUCCUUGCACACUGUCAUUUCCUGCCCAUAUCAACCCUCUGAAGGAGGGCCCAUUUCCCAGUACACAGCCGAACUGGGUCCUGUUACAACUGCAGCUGCUUCCCAUAUCUACGGGAUCCCCAUUGGUGUGGUGCUGACCGCCUGGAAGUCCUGCAGGGACUCCUAACUGUGAGGACUGCAAGGAAGAGAGGAUGGAUGGACAGGUCCACAUUGUCACCAGUCCACCACCGUGGCCCCUGGGACACAGAGCCCCCACUCAGCCCACCUGGUCUGCCAUGGACAGGAUAAGUUAGCAAAAACCAAGAUGAACAAAAAAUAUAGGAAAUCUGACUAUAAGUUAAUAAAUUU
RNAcentral lists this long non-coding RNA (522 nucleotides) under Homo sapiens (human). RNAcentral describes it as "HSALNT0258098". The record is from RNAcentral. Lineage: Eukaryota; Metazoa; Chordata; Mammalia; Primates; Hominidae.